GACGAACGCUGGCGGCGCGCUUAACACAUGCAAGUCGAACGUGAAGCCGGGGCUUGCCCCGGUGGAAAGUGGCGAACGGGUGCGUAACACGUGAGCAACCUGCCCCGAAGACUGGGGUAACACCGGGAAACCGGUGCUAAUACCGGAUGCCCUCUUCUGAUCGCAUGGUCGGAUGAGGAAAUGGAUUCCGCUUCGGGAUGGGCUCGCGGCCUAUCAGCUUGUUGGUGAGGUAACGGCCCACCAAGGCGACGACGGGUAGCUGGUCUGAGAGGACGACCAGCCACACUGGGACUGAGACACGGCCCAGACUCCUACGGGAGGCAGCAGUGGGGAAUCUUGCUCAAUGGGCGAAAGCCUGAAGCAGCGACGCCGCGUGCGGGAUGAAGGCCCUCGGGUUGU
This 399-nucleotide ribosomal RNA is filed under the name uncultured bacterium. RNAcentral's name for it is "bacterial SSU rRNA". It matches the Rfam family "Bacterial small subunit ribosomal RNA", at positions 28 to 426 of the family's 1533-position model. The record is from RNAcentral.